AGUAAAAAGUGGAGUAAGCAGGAAGAAAGUAGCUGGCGAACAUGAACAUCUAUGAGGAUCUUUGUAGCACCUACCUCUUGUCACUACUCUUCUUCCUAUGCAUGUUGUCAUAUAAACCUCCAAAUGCAGAACAGAUGAAACAAUAAUAUUGGCCAGAGGACACACAUCACAUAUAAGGAAAAAAAAAGAGUACUGCAUAUAUAAUAAGUCUACAUAGGUAUGAGAGGUAUCAGGAACAGUGUUAUCAGGCGAACCUUCUGCACAAGUUAGCCGUGCUAUGAUAUUAGUUCUAGUCAUGAAAAAUCUUCUCUCUUUAUAUAACAAAUAACUAAACCUGAAUUUUAGUUGUGUCCGAAUCCGUCUUUUGUGCAUAUGAUGCUUUUUCAGGUAUGCGAGAGGAACUAGGCCCUGUUUGGAAGAUUGCCCAUGGCUAAUUUUGAGAACUAAUGUUUAGUCAUGAAUUGGUAGGCUAAAUAUUAGCCUAAGAUGAUAUGUUUGGAUCCAUGAGCUAAUUUAAGGCUAAAAGGUGGAGAAAGAGUAGAAAGAGAGGAGAGAGAGGGAGAGAUAGGGCUGCUUUUUGAUGGUCUCCACAGAAAAUUAGCCCCAUUAGCACCCCUUAGAGGGGCUAAUGUUCUGAGAGGGGCUAAUUCACUCUACCCCCAAAUUAAACCACCUGUUUGGAUCCUUGAGGGCUAAUUCAGAGCUAAAAGGUGGGGGCUAAUAAUUAGCUCAUGGAACCAAACAGGACCCUAGAAUGAACAUGGCGAGAAUGAAGUGUAGAUUCCUUGAAUGCAGAAGAAUACAAAUUACAGCAAUGGAGAAUAAUAAACUGGUAAAAGGCAAAUGAUGGGAGCGGGAGCAUUUGUGAAUUGGGAAAGCCAUCCAAAAUAACAUACUAUAUGCUAGCAUUGGAGAGUCCAUCUUGUGUCUCACGCGAUCUCCAUUUCUUAGAUCCUUGAAGAGUGUGAGGAUAGGAAGCAUCAGGAAAAAGAAAUCUCCAUUGCUAUUGCUUGGUGGGUGUAGCAGCAACAAGCCUACAUUGGGCAGUAACCAUGGUUCUAGAAAUUAAUUGAUCAUUUCCAUUUUCCACCAUGGUUCUUUAGUCAGCUUGCUGUGCAUCUACAUUGGGCAGUAACCAUUUACAUUAGCAAGCAAUUACAGCGCCUACUUCUACUCUGCUACUAUAAUCCUGAGUAAGACAACAUAAUUGUCUAGGACUGACAUCGAUAAUGGCCUCUUCAUUGUUCUCACGUUAUCACUACUAGUAUGAAAAAAAAGGAGCUAGCAUGAAGAAAAUCGCUAUUGCACAUCUGUGAGGAUCUUUAUAACACCGACCUUUCACUACUCAUCUUCCUAACAUUAGUGUAUGAAAAUUGGCGUAAACCGUUGAGACUAGCCACUAGCGUCUGUCACUUCCGUUCUUCCUCUUUAGUCCAAAUGGGAAUAGGAGGUAUCAGGAUAAGCGUAGCCAAACCGUUCUUCCAAUAAAGUAAGCAGUGCUUAUGAUAUUAGUCCUUAUCUCUGAAAAUCUUGUGUUUCUUGCUGUAACAAAUAACUAAGGCUGAACUUUAGCAAGCUGGUUCAAUACCCUCUUUCAUAGAGUUACAUUACUUAUAUAUAAUGUCUUUUCAGGUGUGCGAGAUAAACUAGAAGAACAAACAUGGGGAGAAUGGAGUGUUGCGGCUCUUCUACCUAUGAGGAUUGAAGUUAUGUGACUCCUCGCAUCUUGAAGAAGAACGGCACGGAUACACUUCCCUGCAGCUAAAGAUCAUUUUCCGCUUACAUAGGUUUGCAAGGUCCUUCAGCCCUACGUAGGUUUUGUGUGUCAGAUGAUCAAUGACAGAUUGACACACACCAACCUGAUCUUCAUUGCUGCAUCGAUCUUCAAAUAUUCGGUGCAUAAUUAUCUAGAUGUAUAGAAUAGAUGAAGAACCAGCAAAAGAUAGAAAGACAAAAGAUGAAAGGAAAUAAAAUGUUUUUGCUUCUGUGAAAGCCAUCCGAUUAAUAUAUACGCUAGCAUUGGAGAGCCCAUCUUGUUUGGUCAUGAGAUGUCCAUUUCUCAGCUAUCUCUUAGAGCGCGAGGAUGUUAAGCAUCAGGAGAAAGAGAUUGAGAGAUCGAAAUGAUAAGUAAGAGAAAUACCGUGUUUUUUUUACUCUCAGAAAUCCAUUAUAUCUGAAAACAAACUUUUUUAUGAACAAAGUAGAGACCAACUUCAGAAUUGUACAUCCUUAGAAUAAGUUAUCUCUGUGCAUCCACAUUUUCAGGGAUAUGAAAGAAACAGAGUAAAACGUACCCACGAAGUGAGAUUGAAGUAAUGCUCUGUAGGACAGAGAUGGUUAAUGUUACCCAUUCUCUCCAUUUUUUUUCCCAUCAACGAAUGCUUAUUAUGAGAAUAAGCAUGUAACUGGACUGCCAAUGGACUUCCUGCUGGAUGUAGCAAGGCUGUGAUUCUGUUUAGACUUAGUUCUUAUCCCCUAAUACAAUGACGAUAUAUUGUUCUUUCUCAAUUUGCUGUGCAAGUGUGCAUGCAGGGUUUUCAAUUUCGAUUUGUCGAAAAUUUCGGUAAGACCAAAAUUUAUGAAAUUUCGUGAUUUUCGGUACUUUUUGGACUGAUUUUUUUUUGAAAUUCUAACAAAUUUUUACUGGAGUUGAAUAAACUUUGACCAAAUUCAACAAAAAAUUGAUAAAAUACGAAAAUUUCAGUUAAUAUAUUGAUUACCAAAAUUUCAGAAAUUUUGAACUAAAAUUGCAAUUCCCUGUGUGCGUGUAGAUUCGAUAUUUACAUCAACAAGAAAUCAUAGCACCUACUUCUACCCUGCUCCUACUAUCAUCCUGAGUAAUAUAACCUAGUACUACUUGUCUAUGAGACUGACAUCUAUAAGGGCCUCCUCUUGGAGUAAUGCAAAUGAAAAAAAAUGGAGCAAUCAUGAGGAAAGUAACUGGAUGACAUCUAUCAGGGUUUAUUUUUAUAGCACCUACCACUUGUAACUACUCAUCUUCCUACGCAUGUUUGUCACAUAAACCUCCAAAUGCAUAAUGCAGGGAAUGGUAUAGAGAAUAUAGGACAGUAGGACACACAUCGCAUAUGAAGAAAGCAUACUAGUAUACUAGCAUCCUAUGUCAUUCCAUUCUCACAUUUCGUCCAACAUGGGUAUAGGAGGUAUUGCGAAAAACACAGGCAGGCUAACCUUCCACACAAGCAAACAAAUCCCUCUUUUUAGUAGAAUUACGUCGUGUAUAACUUUUCUCAGGUAUUCGAGAGAAACUAGGAUGAACUUAUUGAGAAUGAAGUGUUGCAACUAUUUUAGCACCUACUACUUUAGUCAUUUUAUAGAGCAGAUAUGUGACUCCUGAAUCCUAUGUUGAAGAAAAGCAAUGAAAAUGAGCGGUUCCACUUGUUGAAGACGUUCCCUAUACAUAUAUUGAUACUUGGCUGAGGACCUUCAGCAGUGACCCUCUACUUGUCUUACACUUUAAUCUGAUGAAUGAUGAUCAAUGCAACACCAACCUGUUCUUCAUUGUUGUGUCUCCUCAUCUUUGAUACAUAAACAUCAAGUUGUAGAUAACAAAUGGAGAGCGAACACGAGAUAAAAACCAAAUAAUAAAGGAAAAGUGAGCAUUUGUUAUCUCACGAAUAACAUAGAUGCUAGCAUUGGAGAGUUUAUCUUGCAUCUCAUGAGAUGUCCAUUUCUCAAGAGAUAUCUGAGCUUGAGGAUGGGAAGCAUCAGGAGAAAGAAAUCCAGAGGUACCCAUAGAAGAAGUAACACAUAUACCUAUAGUAUAUGUAUAUGUUACUUAUUAUACCUAUAGUAUAUGUUACAAGACAAAUUAGUAUGUCCCAUAACAACUUUUGAUGAACAAAAACAAGAGAAAGACUUCAGAGUAUUACAUCUUUGUAACAGGUUCUCUCUAAGCACAUCCACAUUUUCAGGGAUAUGAUUGAAACAUAGUAUAACACUCGGAAGGAUCUAGUUGAAUGGACAUGAGACAAAACAACUGUUGUGUCAAGCGAGCGUGCUAGGCAAGGAGAAUGUGAUCAUUGUAAAAAAAAUUUGAAGAAAAGAUCAUUGUACAGAAUGAGAUAAUCAGAAACAUCAUGCACCAACGAUUGGUAAUAGUAGCAGGCUGAAGAUGUCGCUGGUAUGGUGGCGGAGCAGUAGGCAGCCAUGAGAGCUGCUGCAUGCCAAUGCCAACAAGUGCAUCAUUGAUACAAUAAAGUCUGGUUGUUUGGGGUUUUGUUUUGUUGAAUGGGCUGUAGUUUUUUUAUGCAUCGAGGUGUUUUCAAUAUAUAGCUUAGGGGAAAUCAUCAUGAUUCGAAUUUCAUUGAUUUGUUGCAGAAAAUUUAUAAAACUUGCUGAACUUUGCAGAGGCCUGAUAAAGCAUUCAUGACAACUUGGUGAAACAUUCAUUUGACAUGGUUAUACUUAUGAUAUGCCACGAAUGAUCAAUGAAACUUUUAGAGAUACUGACAAUACACCUGAUGAAACUCUGAAGAUAAAACUAGCAUGCACGCAUGUAUCAUGUAAGCUAAAGGUGCUUUACAAUGGUUUUUGUUAGUAGAAUUAAUCUAGAGCCCUCAUAUUUUCUAAUCUAAGGAUCAGAUCUAUUUCUAUUACUACCUCAACUAUUUGCAGUAGAAUAUUUCUUUUGCUGGUAGUGGAACUCAUAAAUCAAUGGUCAAGGUUACUUCUAUUGGUGACAAUAUUGCUAGUAGAAUACCACCAAUAAAGACCACCAUAAAAAAAUCACAUCUAUUUAUACUUCCACCUAACCUACUGGCAGUAGAAUUCAUAACUCAAGACUUAAAUCACUUCUACCACUGAUAAUAAUAUUGGUAGUAUUUAGUAAAGGCUAUCGCAGGUACUUGAGUAAUAACACCUACUUAUAUGUUAGACUGACAUCUAUGAUGGCCUCUUCAUGACUCUUACGUUAUCGGAUCUUUAACUUGUUGACUUAUUAGUAUAAUAUAUACAUGAAAAGAAAUUAUGGAGCAAGCAUGAAUGAAGCAAGUAAUUAUGUGGAUGGACAUCUACAAGGAUUUAUUACAACACCUACAUCUAUAAGGAUUUACAUUAUCUUCCUAUGCAUGUUUGUCAUACAAACCUCCAAAUGCAGAGAGGAAGAAACAGUAGACACACAUCACUUGUGAAGAGAAUAUUAUAGUAUACUUGUUCUAGGAGCAUCAUAUUGUUAUACGGAAGUCACUUCCAUUUUCCCAUUUAGUCCACAUGAGCAUAGGAGGUAUCAGGAAAAGGGUACCCAACCAAGACUUCUGCCCAAGUAUGUGAGAGAAACCAGAACGAACAUGCAUGGCUGGAGAGGUGGAGAACGAAGCAUUGUGCUGUUUUAGUUGCUCUUGCUUGAGUACCAUGAACAAAAGAUAUGUGACUUCUCAGAAUGCUUCAGGAUGUUGGAGAAGAGGCGUGAGUAUGCUCUUCUGCUUCUGCACGGGUAAACUAAAGAUCCAUUAUUUGCGUCGGUUGGACGAUGCCCUUCAACAGUGAUACAUGCCAUGAUGCUUUAAUUGUUAAUCCAGACAUGUGUGUGAUGAUCAAAGGCACACUAACAUGUUCUUCGUUGUGUGUUUUGCCAUCUCUCGCACAAUGUAUGAGCAGAUGAAGAACGAAUACAAGAUAAAAGACAAACAAUGAAAAGAAAGAGAGAAUUUCUACUUAAGCCAUUUGAGUUGUCAAAUUUUCAAGAAUUUUUCAUGAUUAAAGUGACAUGCAAAAAAAAGGGGCAUCCCCUUUAAAGGGUAAAAUGACUUUCCCAAAUAAUUAAGGGGAUCAAUGCCACGCCAACCUAUUAUUUCAUCACUGUGUCCAUCUUUGAUACAUAGACAUACGAAUGAAACGGAAAAGGUCAAGAAUGAACAAGAGAUAAAAGGCAAAUAGUGGAAGGGAGUGUACAUUUGUGGUUUCAUGAAAAUAAUUUUUUCAUUCGGGUAAUGUAUAUAUAUGCUAGAGUAAUUCUAGCACUGUAGAGUCCAUCUUUUGUCUCAUGAGUUGUCCAUUUCUCAGAGAUCUAUAGAAGCGUAAGGAUGGGAAGCGUCAGGAGAAAGAAAAUGAGAAACACCCAUAUACCAUGUAAGACAUCCCAAUACCUAUAAUGUUUAUUACUUACAGAAAUUCAGUAGGUACCAUAACAUUUUUAUGAACAAACUAGAACGACUUCAUAAUUUUACAUACACCGAUACACUUUUUCAGGGAUAUGAAGUAGAGUAAAACGCAUAACGGAUGGAUAUGAUACAAUUGACAAGAGACAAAGCAGGCACUGCACAAAGCAAGAAAGGCAAUGGCAAUGUGAUCUCUCUCUAUAGGAUGAUAGAACCAGAUAUACCAUGCAUCGAUAAGUACUAGUAGAGUAGCAGGCUGCAGGCGCAGGUGGUGUGGGGUUGGAGUAGGUUCAUUUGAGAGAUCAAGUGUACUUGUCAACCAGUUUAUAGAUUUUUUUUUUGCGGAUGAAUUGUAUAUGUUUUCUGCCAAGUGUUGAGGUGGACUCAAUAUAUAACUCAUGGGAAAUCGACUUGUCAUAGGGCGGCUUGCUUUAACUUUUGUUCAUUUGGUUGCUGAAAUUUGAACAAGACUAACAUGGAAGUAGUUGAAACAUGCAUGAGAGACAUGCAUGGUGAAAUAUUCAUAUGACACAAUGAUAUUGAAGAGAUGCCAAGAACGCUCAAUAGAACUUUUGAGAGGCACCGACAAUACCUGAUGAAACCCUAAUUGAGUGGCAUGUUUGUAUACCACUAUACUGUAACUAUCGUAUGUAUUUCUUCCAUUUCAUAUUAUAAGAAGUUUUGGGUUGUCUUGAAGUCAAACUUCUUUUAAUUUUGACCAAGUUUGUAAAAAAAAAAACCUACA
This is a non-coding RNA of Oryza sativa Japonica Group (Japanese rice), 6861 nucleotides long. NCBI's taxonomy places the organism in Eukaryota, Viridiplantae, Streptophyta, Magnoliopsida, Poales, Poaceae. The record is from RefSeq and is a predicted model, not a curated record.